Molecule: non-coding RNA, 1121 nt
Organism: Arachis ipaensis
Lineage: Eukaryota; Viridiplantae; Streptophyta; Magnoliopsida; Fabales; Fabaceae
Source: RefSeq, a predicted model, not a curated record
AGGCCCAUCGACAAUUGAGUUGCGUUUGCAUCUCUUCUUCCCGAGUGUCUGCAGUGGUCAGUGUGUAGCUUUCUGAGUGGCAUUCUCAUCGAUCAAACUCGCUUCAUUCUUCACAUCACACUUGAAAACCUCAACAAAGAUGUUCAAAAAAUUUUCGUUUGAGGAUGUGUCUGCUCAGAAUCAAGUGAAGGCCUCUGUUCAACGAAAAAUUCGACAAAGUAUCGCAGAGGAGUAUCCUGGUUUGGAACCAGUAUUGGAUGAUAUACUUCCUAAGAAGUCCCCUCUUAUAGUUGCUAAAUGUCAGAACCAUCUGAAUCUGGUGCUAGUGAACAAUGUGCCUUUGUUUUUCAGUGUCCGGGAUGGACCAUACAUGCCCACAUUGCGACUUCUCCAUCAAUAUCCAAAUAUAAUGAAGAAACUACAAGUUGACCGUGGUGCAAUAAGAUUUGUGUUGUCGGGUGCAAACAUAAUGUGCCCUGGCCUUACGUCUCCUGGUGGUGCUUUGGAUGAGGAAGUGGAGGCAGAAAGUCCUGUGGCUGUUAUGGCUGAAGGGAAACAGCAUGCUCUUGCUAUUGGCUUUACAAAAAUGUCAGCAAAAGACAUCAUUUUUGCUUCUGAUCAAGGAAUAAAACUUACUAAAGGAAGUCAAUGCAGAAACAAAGUGAUGUUAUGACGUGUCUGGUAUAAAAUCAGGGAAUUGGAGUUGCAAGCCUUCCCUGGUUAUUGUUCCACUCACGAAGUUAAAUUACUUUCAUGGUUUCAGAAAAGCAAUCAACAAGGGAAUUGGGGUUGACAACCUGCAUUAUCUCAAUGACGGUCUUUGGAAGAUGGAGCGACUCGAUUGAAGAUGCUGUAAGAGCUGUAUACCACCAACGAUGGACGAGCUCUCAUUUUCUGGGUCUAUGAUCUGAUUUUAGAGUCCAUCAUAAAUGUGCUUGGCCACUAAUCUAUUAUACCGGUGUAAACAGUUAAAAAAAAAAGAAAAGAAAAGAAUUUUGUUACACAGUACUCCUUUUACGUAGAUUUCAGGUAUGGAAUCCACACUGUUUCUGCGUGUUGAAAGUGCAAAAGUUUUGUCCAUUUGUUUAAGAGUAAUGAAAGGAGAUUUUGAAUCAUUGGAA